Molecule: ribosomal RNA, 500 nt
Filed under: uncultured bacterium
Lineage: Bacteria
Description: partial 16S ribosomal RNA
Rfam family: Bacterial small subunit ribosomal RNA
Source: RNAcentral
AUUGAACGCUGGCGGCAUGCUUUACACAUGCAAGUCGAACGGUAACAGGGUGCUUGCACCGCUGACGAGUGGCGAACGGGUGAGUAAUGCGUCGGAACGUGCCGAGUAGUGGGGGAUAACGCAGCGAAAGUUUUGCUAAUACCGCAUACGUACUGAGGUAGAAAGUGGGGGACCUUCGGGCCUCACGCUAUUCGAGCGGCCGACGUCUGAUUAGCUAGUAGGUGAGGUAAAGGCUCACCUAGGCGACGAUCAGUAGCGGGUCUGAGAGGAUGAUCCGCCACACUGGGACUGAGACACGGCCCAGACUCCUACGGGAGGCAGUAGUGGGGAAUUUUGGACAAUGGGCGAAAGCCUGAUCCAGCCAUGCCGCGUGUCUGAAGAAGGCCUUCGGGUUGUAAAGGACUUUUGUCAGGGAGGAAAUCCCUAGUGCUAAUAACACUGGGGGAUGACAGUACCUGAAGAAUAAGCACCGGCUAACUACGUGCCAGCCGCCGCGGUAA